UAGGGAAUAUUGGGCAAUGGACGCAAGUCUGACCCAGCCAUGCCGCGUGCAGGAUGACGGUCCUAUGGAUUGUAAACUGCUUUUUUAUGGGAAGAAACCCCUGGAUGCGUCCGGGGCUGACGGUACCAUAAGAAUAAGGAUCGGCUAACUUCGUGCCAGCAGCCGCGGUAAGACGAAGGAUUCAAGCGUUGUCCGGAUUUACUGGGUUUAAAGGGUGCGUAGGCGGAAAAUUAAGUCAGUGGUGAAAUCCCGCAGCUCAACUGCGGAACUGCCAUUGAAACUGGUUUUCUUGAAUACAGUGGAGGUAGAUGGAAUAUAACAUGUAGCGGUGAAAUGCUUAGAUAUGUUAUAGAACACCGAUUGCGAAGGCAGUCUGCUACACUGUGAUUGACGCUGAGGCACGAAAGCGUGGGGAGCAAACAGG
RNAcentral lists this ribosomal RNA (424 nucleotides) under uncultured Sphingobacteriales bacterium. Its description in RNAcentral is "bacterial SSU rRNA". It matches the Rfam family "Bacterial small subunit ribosomal RNA", at positions 355 to 776 of the family's 1533-position model. Lineage: Bacteria; Pseudomonadati; Bacteroidota; Sphingobacteriia; Sphingobacteriales. The record is from RNAcentral.